This 492-nucleotide ribosomal RNA is filed under the name uncultured bacterium. RNAcentral's name for it is "partial 16S ribosomal RNA". It matches the Rfam family "Bacterial small subunit ribosomal RNA", at positions 29 to 507 of the family's 1533-position model. The record is from RNAcentral.
AGUGAACGCUGGCGGUAGGCCUAACACAUGCAAGUCGAACGGCAGCACAGUGAGAGCUUGCUCUUACGGGUGGCGAGUGGCGGACGGGUGAGGAAUACAUCGGAAUCUACUUUUUCGUGGGGGAUAACGUAGGGAAACUUACGCUAAUACCGCAUACGACCUACGGGUGAAAGCAGGGGAUCUUCGGACCUUGCGCGAUUGAAUGAGCCGAUGUCGGAUUAGCUAGUUGGCGGGGUAAAGGCCCACCAAGGCGACGAUCCGUAGCUGGUCUGAGAGGAUGAUCAGCCACACUGGAACUGAGACACGGUCCAGACUCCUACGGGAGGCAGCAGUGGGGAAUAUUGGACAAUGGGCGCAAGCCUGAUCCAGCCAUACCGCGUGGGUGAAGAAGGCCUUCGGGUUGUAAAGCCCUUUUGCUGGGAAAGAAAAGCAGCAGGUUAAUACCCCGCUGUUCUGACGGUACCCAAAGAAUAAGCACCGGCUAACUUCGUG